UCCGUGGUAGCUCAACGGUGGAGCAUUCGGCUGUUAACCGAAGGGCUGGAGGUUCGAAUCCUCUCCACGGAGCCA
This 75-nucleotide transfer RNA is filed under the name Clostridium liquoris. Its description in RNAcentral is "tRNA-Asn". It matches the Rfam family "tRNA". Rfam says of the family: Transfer RNA (tRNA) molecules are approximately 80 nucleotides in length. Lineage: Bacteria; Bacillati; Bacillota; Clostridia; Eubacteriales; Clostridiaceae. The record is from RNAcentral.